This 225-nucleotide ribosomal RNA is filed under the name Tropheryma whipplei str. Twist. RNAcentral describes it as "partial 23S ribosomal RNA". The record is from RNAcentral. Lineage: Bacteria; Bacillati; Actinomycetota; Actinomycetes; Micrococcales; Tropherymataceae.
CGAUGGACAACGGGUUGAUAUUCCCGUACCGGCAAAGAACCGCCCAUAUUCCGCGUAGUUUCGUUCAGCAUUUUGCUGUGCUUACGGUACCCCUUUUACGGUGUGCGGGAUAAGUGUUCAGGUGUGACGCAGGAAGGUAGCCAAGCCGGGCGAUGGUUGACCCGGUGUAAGUGUGUAACCCGGAGGGUAGGCAAAUCCGCCCUCCAUCUAAAGGGCCAGGCACGA